This 1374-nucleotide long non-coding RNA is filed under the name Canis lupus familiaris (dog). RNAcentral describes it as "lncRNA (ENSCAFG00030008635.1)". The record is from RNAcentral. Lineage: Eukaryota; Metazoa; Chordata; Mammalia; Carnivora; Canidae.
AUGCUUCGGACAAGUCUACAAAGAACGGGGGCGGGGGGGGGGGCGGGGAGGACACAACAAUCCAAGCGACUACAUACACACACGCGAGAGCGAGCACACUGGCUCUCAAAAGAGUGUGGCUGUGGAAAGGGGACCCGGAGCCUUCCUGGGUCAACAUUUCCGGGCGGUCUUGGUGCGAGUUACCAACCUGCCAAUAACCCGCCGUCUUCACUGUGUAUCCCUGGAUGCAACCGUCUGUGCUCGGGGCUCGGUUUGGGUUCGUCCCCUACCGCAGCUCGGCAAGUCUCGGGGCGCCGAAGCCCGGCUCGCAGGCCUCUCAGGGCUGGCGGAGCUAGCGGGCGGCUCGGCCUCCGCCGGAGAUGCCCCCCCCCCCCCCCGCCCCAAAAGGCAGAACUAGGAUCGCGCUGCUUCCCGGAGCGGCACGAGCGCUUGGCUCAGGUUUCCGCGGGGUCCGGAGCCUCUGGCGUUGAGCACAGAAAGCAGUUCUGCCCGCAGAUGCCUCCAAGACUCAAGUUUCCCGGAGCCGGGGUGGGGGGCGGGGGCAGCACGCCCCGCACGAAGAAAGCGCUCUGCAAACCGCCAAGCCGCUGGGCAAACCGGAGCUUCGGAAACAAUACCUCGGAGAGGCGGGGAGGGGGCCAACAACUUGCCGACCAUGGGCGCCGGCCGCUGCCGGGGGACGGGGUGGAGGGUGGAGGGUGGAGGGGGGCGCGGUGGCGGGAAGGGCCAGGCGCUGCUGCAGCCCCCCCCCCCCCCCCCCCCCCCCCCGCAGCCCGCGCGCUCCGAGAGCCCGUUUCCGGGGUCGGGGUCCCAGGUGACCGCACGGCCCAGGCCAGCCGCGCCCCCGACCCCUGUCGGCCCGUCCGGGUCGCAGCCCCCCCUCCCUCCGCCCCCCGGGCAGCCCCCGCCGGCUCACCUGCGCGCGCCCGGCGUCCUCCGCUUCCCCCCUCGGGAGGCGUCUGGAGCCGACCCGCGGCGCCGUCCCGCCUCCCGCGCUCGCCCCGCCCCCUCCGAGCCGGAACCGCGGGCUUCCGGGCGCUUCUCCCCGCCCCCUCGCCCCUAGUGUGGCGUCACUUCCGCCAGCGCCCGGCCGCGCGCCGCGAGCGUGGGCGUCGCGCACGCGCCGGGAGCGCCCCAGAGUCGGGAGCGCGCCCCGCGGAUGACAACAAAUUCGUCGCGCGGCGGCGGCGGUGGAGGAGGCCGCCUCGGUACCUGCCGCGGGCCGUGCCGCGUGCGCCCCUGCAUCCUGCCUGCGUGACGACUGGGGCCCUCGCGGAGGCCUCCCCACGCCCCCACACCCCCCCGGGCCUGGGGCGUCGGGUCCCCGCCGGGCCUAGCGCGAGCCGCGCGGCGCGGGCCAUGGGGUCGCCCUGA